Molecule: ribosomal RNA, 1528 nt
Filed under: Klebsiella variicola
Lineage: Bacteria; Pseudomonadati; Pseudomonadota; Gammaproteobacteria; Enterobacterales; Enterobacteriaceae
Description: bacterial SSU rRNA
Rfam family: Bacterial small subunit ribosomal RNA
Source: RNAcentral
AGAGUUUGAUCAUGGCUCAGAUUGAACGCUGGCGGCAGGCCUAACACAUGCAAGUCGAGCGGUAGCACAGAGAGCUUGCUCUCGGGUGACGAGCGGCGGACGGGUGAGUAAUGUCUGGGAAACUGCCUGAUGGAGGGGGAUAACUACUGGAAACGGUAGCUAAUACCGCAUAACGUCGCAAGACCAAAGUGGGGGACCUUCGGGCCUCAUGCCAUCAGAUGUGCCCAGAUGGGAUUAGCUAGUAGGUGGGGUAACGGCUCACCUAGGCGACGAUCCCUAGCUGGUCUGAGAGGAUGACCAGCCACACUGGAACUGAGACACGGUCCAGACUCCUACGGGAGGCAGCAGUGGGGAAUAUUGCACAAUGGGCGCAAGCCUGAUGCAGCCAUGCCGCGUGUGUGAAGAAGGCCUUCGGGUUGUAAAGCACUUUCAGCGGGGAGGAAGGCGAUAAGGUUAAUAACCUUGUCGAUUGACGUUACCCGCAGAAGAAGCACCGGCUAACUCCGUGCCAGCAGCCGCGGUAAUACGGAGGGUGCAAGCGUUAAUCGGAAUUACUGGGCGUAAAGCGCACGCAGGCGGUCUGUCAAGUCGGAUGUGAAAUCCCCGGGCUCAACCUGGGAACUGCAUUCGAAACUGGCAGGCUAGAGUCUUGUAGAGGGGGGUAGAAUUCCAGGUGUAGCGGUGAAAUGCGUAGAGAUCUGGAGGAAUACCGGUGGCGAAGGCGGCCCCCUGGACAAAGACUGACGCUCAGGUGCGAAAGCGUGGGGAGCAAACAGGAUUAGAUACCCUGGUAGUCCACGCUGUAAACGAUGUCGAUUUGGAGGUUGUGCCCUUGAGGCGUGGCUUCCGGAGCUAACGCGUUAAAUCGACCGCCUGGGGAGUACGGCCGCAAGGUUAAAACUCAAAUGAAUUGACGGGGGCCCGCACAAGCGGUGGAGCAUGUGGUUUAAUUCGAUGCAACGCGAAGAACCUUACCUGGUCUUGACAUCCACAGAACUUUCCAGAGAUGGAUUGGUGCCUUCGGGAACUGUGAGACAGGUGCUGCAUGGCUGUCGUCAGCUCGUGUUGUGAAAUGUUGGGUUAAGUCCCGCAACGAGCGCAACCCUUAUCCUUUGUUGCCAGCGGUUAGGCCGGGAACUCAAAGGAGACUGCCAGUGAUAAACUGGAGGAAGGUGGGGAUGACGUCAAGUCAUCAUGGCCCUUACGACCAGGGCUACACACGUGCUACAAUGGCAUAUACAAAGAGAAGCGACCUCGCGAGAGCAAGCGGACCUCAUAAAGUAUGUCGUAGUCCGGAUUGGAGUCUGCAACUCGACUCCAUGAAGUCGGAAUCGCUAGUAAUCGUAGAUCAGAAUGCUACGGUGAAUACGUUCCCGGGCCUUGUACACACCGCCCGUCACACCAUGGGAGUGGGUUGCAAAAGAAGUAGGUAGCUUAACCUUCGGGAGGGCGCUUACCACUUUGUGAUUCAUGACUGGGGUGAAGUCGUAACAAGGUAACCGUAGGGGAACCUGCGGUUGGAUCACCU